This 211-nucleotide long non-coding RNA is filed under the name Homo sapiens (human). Its description in RNAcentral is "HSALNT0052799". Lineage: Eukaryota; Metazoa; Chordata; Mammalia; Primates; Hominidae. The record is from RNAcentral.
CCAAAUGCAAGAUUAUAAAAUGCGAGACAGCUGACAUUUAUCAAGCAACCUCACAGACACAUGUCAAAUUUACUUCUGUGUGGCAAAGAAAAGUUUUACCUGCUGUGUGCGUCUAGACACUGAUUAAUCUUAGAGAAGACCUAAAGUGAUGACAGCAGCAAAAAUUUAUAAAGGCAUUUAAAAUAUAUGCUUAAGUAUAAUUGCUUUGAAG